Long non-coding RNA from Capra hircus (goat), 1961 nucleotides. Lineage: Eukaryota; Metazoa; Chordata; Mammalia; Artiodactyla; Bovidae. The record is from Ensembl.
AUGCUGCUGCCUAGAACACGCUCACAGCUCUGCCUGUUGCUAUUUUUCCUUUUCAGUGUCCUGGGUUCCCUCCUGCUGCUUGGACUCCAGCUUGUCUGCCCGCAGCCCUCCACGGAACACAGAAAGGUCCCGCAGCGGAUGGCUGUGGCCGAGGGCGCCCCGGAGGACGGCGGUGGCGGCGCCCCGGGCGUGUGGGGCUCCUGGGGCCCCUGGUCCGCCUGCUCGCGCAGCUGCAGCGGCGGCGUGAUGGAGCAGACGCGGCCCUGCCUGCCCAGCUCGUACCGCGCACGCGGGGGACCACGGCCUGGAGCCCCCGCGCGCGCCUUCACGGGCCACGUGGUGUCAGCCGUUCGCACAUCGGUGCCGCUGCACCGGAGCCGCGAGGAGACACGCGCCCCUGCCGACCUCAACUCUAGUCGCCAGGGCCCGGCGCUGCGAGGCAGCCGACACCCGCAGGCCCGGGGCCGCGAACCCACGGCGGAGAGAAGGAGCAGGACCCGAGGUCCCAUCGGCCCUGGCAAGUAUGGUUAUGGGAAAGCCCCGUACAUCUUACCAUUGCAGACAGACUCUGCACACCCACCGCAGAGGCUUCGGCGGCAGAGGCCCUCAUCCCGGAAUUCCAGGUCCCAGGGGGCAUCUGGCUCUAGCCAUGACUACCACCCUUCAGCUCACCAGCGCCCCCAGCAUGGACCUCUGUACCAGAGUGACAGUGGCCCGCGUUCUGGACUGCAAGCCUCAGAGGGCUCUGUCUACCAGCUGCCUUUGACCCAUGACCAAGGCUUCCCUGCAGCCUCCAGUCUCUUCCACAGCCCAGAAGCAAGCAGCAGCCCUGGGCUGGGGCCCCCCAGGGCAGCUCAGAGCUUCUCCCAGCCCACCAGAUCUACAGCCAUCUCCUGCAUCGGGGCCUACCGGCAGUACAAGCUGUGCAACACGAACGUGUGUCCAGAAAGCAGUAGAAGUAUCUGGGAGGUACAGUGUGCAUCCUACAACAACAAGCCGUUCAUGGGCCGGUUUUAUGAAUGGGAACCAUUUGCAGAAGUCAAGGGCAAUCGGAAGUGUGAGCUGAACUGCCAGGCAAUGGGCUACCGCUUCUAUGUUCGGCAAGCUGAGAAGGUCAUUGAUGGUACCCCCUGUGACCAGAACGGGACGGCCAUCUGCGUGUCUGGGCAGUGCAAGGGAAUAAAGUCCAGGGCCAAGAUGCUGGCCAAGCUGGGACUUGCCGCCCCCUGACCCAGCCGGCGUUCAGGUUGUGCCUUCACCAGCAUGAACACACUGUCAGCCUGGAGAGCCAUUCCUUGUCCACUGUUGGACCACCCAGUGGACUCUGCUCAAAAGCCACUGGCUGACCCCCUUGAACACUGUUUCUGUUCUUCUGUUCCCACUUCUUGUACUCAUUUGUUCCCAUGUCCCCAGCCUACCACCCAUCCAGGCCGGGAGCAAUUCCAGGCACUUUGCUUUUCAAUAGGUGCUUAAAAUAAAUGUGUAAAUGAAUUGAGGUACUUGGUGACUCAGUCUCUGGGGUUUUAGCAAAUGAAACUCGUCUUAAAUCCAGCACAGAGCUUUUCCUUUUGGCUUGAUGGGCAGUGGAAGGCUGCUCGCACAAGGACGCGGAGCCCCCUUGGCCAGAUCCCCAGAACCCAAGGCUUUGAAUGUCAGGCAGAAUUCUUGGCACCUCCCCAGGCUCCUGUCUCCCUCAUCUUGUUUUUAAUUUUGCUCACACUGAAUUUCUUGAGUCCAGACAGAGCUAAUGACAGGAAGAAGCUAAGCAAGUGUGAGAGUGCAGUCUCCCACGGUGCUUUCUGCUGUGGGGGGAAGACCCCUGUCUGCCCCUCCCCAUAGCCUGGUCAGCCUUUGCCUGCACCAUCUACCCAUCCUCAGGGGCCAGGGCGGGGGAGCCUUCACACCUCCUCUCCCAGCUGGGGCACUGCUCAGCUUCCAAUGGCUCCAGCAGGACGCAUCAG